Long non-coding RNA from Amaranthus tricolor (Joseph's coat), 772 nucleotides. RefSeq lists it as uncharacterized. The transcript has 4 exons. Lineage: Eukaryota; Viridiplantae; Streptophyta; Magnoliopsida; Caryophyllales; Amaranthaceae. The record is from RefSeq and is a predicted model, not a curated record.
UCUAGUAUCCUCAAAUCCACAGCUCCUCUUUUUCCUCCACCGUCAUCCAUCAUGCAAUCCACUUCAGUUUAGUUUUCCUCCACCGUCAUCCACCACGCCUCUGCCUUCAGUUCACCGGCUCUCCACUUUUUAAGAUACAAGACGGUUGGGAGAGGAGGUGGAAAGAAAACAAAGUGACCGUAGCAUUCCUCCCGGAAGACUUCAGAGUUGCAUUCAAAAUAGAGGUAAACACUUGACGAACCAACCAAAUAUUGGAGGAGUCAACAAUAACAGUAACCCAGCAAUCGAAGAUGAGAUUGCUUCCAUGGUUUGUAGAAAAAUUCUUAUGCAAGUUUUGGGACAAAAGGUCGGGAUACAUUCGUGGGAAAGGGAUGGGAGUACGUGCAUAUGUUAAGGGAAAAGCCGUAAUAGAACAACGUAAGAUUGUGGAGCAACAACAAGAGAAAAUUCAACUGCAAGAACAAAAAAUAAAAGAGUUGGACGGAAAAAUUGAAGAAUAUAAAACACAACAACAAGAGGCAAUGGAGGCUUUUAGACAAAGCAAAUUGCAACAACUCCAAGUAACUAUGCCAUGAAUGCCAAGCAGGUAUGCAUCAUAUGAUGAUGUGCAGUUUUUGAUUCUUGAUCUCGAAACCGACAUCUACUGUGAAUUUGGAUGGACACUAUCCAAUAUCUAUGAAUCUCUUUUGUAGUGAAAUUCGAUGUGCACUACGCAAUAUAUAUGAAUCUCUUUUGUAAUCAACAAACUUAUAGCAUUCAUUUUGGGUUUUAA